This 497-nucleotide ribosomal RNA is filed under the name uncultured bacterium. RNAcentral's name for it is "partial 16S ribosomal RNA". It matches the Rfam family "Bacterial small subunit ribosomal RNA", at positions 28 to 507 of the family's 1533-position model. The record is from RNAcentral.
GAUGAACGCUGGCGGCGUGCCUAAUACAUGCAAGUCGAGCGAACGGACGAGAAGCUUGCUUUUCUGUUGUUAGCGGCGGACGGGUGAGUAACACGUGGAUAACCUACCUAUAAGACUGGGAUAACUUCGGGAAACCGGAGCUAAUACCGGAUAAUAUUUUGAACCGCAUGGUUCAAAAGUGAAAGACGGUCUUGCUGUCACUUAUAGAUGGAUCCGCGCUGCAUUAGCUAGUUGGUAAGGUAACGGCUUACCAAGGCAACGAUGCAUAGCCGACCUGAGAGGGUGAUCGGCCACACUGGAACUGAGACACGGUCCAGACUCCUACGGGAGGCAGCAGUAGGGAAUCUUCCGCAAUGGGCGAAAGCCUGACGGAGCAACGCCGCGUGAGUGAUGAAGGUCUUCGGAUCGUAAAACUCUGUUAUUAGGGAAGAACAUAUGUGUAAGUAACUGUGCACAUCUUGACGGUACCUAAUCAGAAAGCCACGGCUAACUACGUG